RNAcentral lists this ribosomal RNA (815 nucleotides) under Ramularia endophylla. RNAcentral describes it as "eukaryotic LSU rRNA". It matches the Rfam family "Eukaryotic large subunit ribosomal RNA", at positions 70 to 916 of the family's 3401-position model. Lineage: Eukaryota; Fungi; Ascomycota; Dothideomycetes; Mycosphaerellales; Mycosphaerellaceae. The record is from RNAcentral.
AGGGAUUGCCCUAGUAACGGCGAGUGAAGCGGCAACAGCUCAAAUUUGAAAUCUGGCGCAAGCCCGAGUUGUAAUUUGUAGAGGAUGCUUCUAGGUAGCGACCGGUCUAAGUUCCUUGGAACAGGACGUCAUAGAGGGUGAGAAUCCCGUAUGUGACUGGCCCGCACCUUCUACGUAGCUCCUUCGACGAGUCGAGUUGUUUGGGAAUGCAGCUCUAAAUGGGAGGUAAAUUUCUUCUAAAGCUAAAUACCGGCCAGAGACCGAUAGCGCACAAGUAGAGUGAUCGAAAGAUGAAAAGCACUUUGGAAAGAGAGUUAAAAAGCACGUGAAAUUGUUGAAAGGGAAGCGCUCACAACCAGACUUCUAGGCAGUGUUCCGCCGGUCUUUUGACCGGUCUACUCUCUGUCUCGAGGCCAACAUCAUCUGGGACCGCCGGAUAAGACCUUAGGAAUGUAGCUCCCCUCGGGGAGUGUUAUAGCCUCUGGUGAUGCGGCGCGUCUCGGGUGAGGUCCGCGCUUCGGCAAGGAUGUUGGCGUAAUGGUUGUCAGCGGCCCGUCUUGAAACACGGACCAAGGAGUCUAACAUCUAUGCGAGUGUUCGGGUGUCAAACCCCUACGCGUAAUGAAAGUGAACGGAGGUGGGAAGCGUAAGCUGCACCAUCGACCGAUCCUGAUGUCCUCGGAUGGAUUUGAGUAAGAGCAUAGCUGUUGGGACCCGAAAGAUGGUGAACUAUGCCUGAAUAGGGUGAAGCCAGAGGAAACUCUGGUGGAGGCUCGCAGCGGUUCUGACGUGCAAAUCGAUCGUCAAAUUUGGGU